This 579-nucleotide ribosomal RNA is filed under the name uncultured bacterium. Its description in RNAcentral is "bacterial SSU rRNA". It matches the Rfam family "Bacterial small subunit ribosomal RNA", at positions 338 to 917 of the family's 1533-position model. The record is from RNAcentral.
CCUACGGGAGGCAGCAGUGAGGAAUAUUGGACAAUGGGCGCAAGCCUGAUCCAGCCAUGCCGCGUGCAGGAAGACUGCCCUAUGGGUUGUAAACUGCUUUUAUACAGGAAGAAUAAGCCUUACGUGUAAAGUGAUGACGGUACUGUAAGAAUAAGGACCGGCUAACUCCGUGCCAGCAGCCGCGGUAAUACGGAGGGUCCAAGCGUUAUCCGGAAUUAUUGGGUUUAAAGGGUCCGUAGGUGGAUAAUUAAGUCAGGGGUGAAAGUUUGCAGCUCAACUGUAAAAUUGCCUUUGAUACUGGUUAUCUUGAAUUGUAUUGAAGUAGGCGGAAUAUGUAGUGUAGCGGUGAAAUGCAUAGAUAUUACAUAGAACACCAAUUGCGAAGGCAGCUUACUAAGUACCAAUUGACACUGAUGGACGAAAGCGUGGGUAGCGAACAGGAUUAGAUACCCUGGUAGUCCACGCCGUAAACGAUGGAUACUAGCUGUUCGGAAUUUAUUCUGAGCGGCCCAGCGAAAGUGAUAAGUAUCCCACCUGGGGAGUACGUUCGCAAGAAUGAAACUCAAAGGAAUUGACGGA